RNAcentral lists this ribosomal RNA (224 nucleotides) under uncultured bacterium. Its description in RNAcentral is "partial 16S ribosomal RNA". It matches the Rfam family "Bacterial small subunit ribosomal RNA", at positions 111 to 334 of the family's 1533-position model. The record is from RNAcentral.
UAACGCGUGGGUAACCUGCCUCAUACAGGGGGAUAACAGUUAGAAAUGACUGCUAAUACCGCAUAAGCGCACAGUACCACAUGGUACGGUGUGAAAAACUACCGGUGGUAUGAGAUGGACCCGCGUCUGAUUAGCUAGUUGGUGAGGUAACGGCUCACCAAGGCGACGAUCAGUAGCCGACCUGAGAGGGUGAUCGGCCACAUUGGGACUGAGACACGGCCCAG